CAAUAAGAAGUGGUGCUGUGAAGAGAACAAUAGUCAGACUGAAUGUUGAACAUCAGCUGCUUCCUCCUGCUGAUUUAAACCUUGGUGGACAGAUGGAACAUUGGCUGUGGAUUAUUCUGGCUGCUCUUUUCUCUGAGUGUAAAGGAGACUCAGUGAAGCAGACAGAAGGAGAAGUUGUUGCUGCUGCAGGAGAAUCACUGACUCUGAGAUGUACCUAUGAGACCAGCUAUGGAACUGGGACCUUAUUCUGGUACAAGCAAGAAGAAACCAGUUCUCCAAAGUACAUGUUGAAACGUGUGUCAUCAGAUGGAGACAAUGCUCCCGAGUUUAGCAAAGACAGAUUUGAUGCAAAGGUCACUAACUCAGACUUUGACCUGAAGAUCCAGGAUCUCCAUCUGUCAGACUCUGCUGUGUACUACUGCGCUCUGCAGCCCACAGUGACAGGAAACACCAGAACCCUGUACAAAAACCUGCAGUUCUCCACAGCAGCCACUAGAGGGCCUCACUCCCUGUUAAUCCACUAAAACCUGCAGUACUCCACAGCAGCCACUAGAGGGAUGUUUGAAAGUACAUUAGACCAUUUAAAAACAUACAUGUUGGUUUUGGCAGGAAUUCGUCUUUAUGGAAAAAAAGUAUUAUUAAAUGUUUUAAUAUAUAGUUUAUUAUAUUCAAAACAUUCUUAAUUAAGAAUGUUCUCAAAGUUAAUUAACUAUUGAUUAAUGGCUAAAUAAGGUUUAGUUAUUAAAAGUUUGUUCCAGUUUUCUGCUGCAUCGUCUUGGAACCAGUGUCAGACUUACAUGAACCUAAAGGGUCUGUUGUCUCUGAAUAUUUCUCAGACUGUUCUUUGAGAAGGAAACAUGUAAAUUUAUGACUGUGAACUUUUUCUGUUUUGCUGUGUGAAUGUUCUGUAAAUUGUGAGCUGCUGCCAGUCUUGGCCAGGAUUCUCUUGUAAAAGAUUUUUAAUCUCUGUGGGAUAAAUCAAUAAUAAUCAUUAUCUUAUGA
This is a non-coding RNA of Xiphophorus hellerii (green swordtail), 1002 nucleotides long. Lineage: Eukaryota; Metazoa; Chordata; Actinopteri; Cyprinodontiformes; Poeciliidae. The record is from the annotation of a RefSeq genome assembly.